GCUUCUUCCAUUUUUUGCAUCUCCUUGUGAUCAAUAUCAUCCUGUAUGGAUAUGGUUCAGCAGCAAAUAAGAUCAAACCAACAAGUGUAAGUAAACAAGAUGCACGCGUACAUUAUCAGGUGAAGGGGGAAAAAACUUCAUUUUCUUUAAUAUGCUCCCUUUUACCAAGUUAACAAACCAUGAUCUAAAAAUUCAAGCCACAGCAGUUUUUCCCCUAUACAAUAAAAGCUGGCAUUUAACCAUGGCAAGGUGAUGCCAAGCAUGAAGAGCAGAGCAAGUGAAUAACAUAAGAUGAACAAAGGUUUUGAUUGUUGCUCGCCUUCUCCCAUUAUUAUCAAUAUGACAAGUAAUAAAAAUAUCUGCAAAAAAGAAUGUAAAUGGUAAACGCAAAAAAAAUAUUAAACAUGCAAAAAUGGGCUAUGUGCUUACAAUAUCAGGAAGA
RNAcentral lists this unclassified non-coding RNA (442 nucleotides) under Hevea brasiliensis (rubber tree). The record is from RNAcentral. Lineage: Eukaryota; Viridiplantae; Streptophyta; Magnoliopsida; Malpighiales; Euphorbiaceae.